CGCACCAGUCUCUAUCAAUUAUGAACGGCCGGUGUUGUGUAAUAUUCAGUUCCUGUGGAAAAACUGUUCUCACUAGUUGGUUGUCAUAAUAUUUCACUAUAUACUUGAGAACAUUUGGCCCUCACAAACAAUUACAGUCAAAACUACACACACAGGGAGAGAAGGAGAAAAAUAAAAGAAAUUCAUUGGCCGAAGGUUACCGUCUUGUCAUCAUGUGCCUUGGUGAUGUCUUCUGAUUGGCCUGCUGCCAAGUUUAAGACCACUGAUCACUCAGCAACAAGUCAGGCUAUUUUCUGAGUUGCAGGUACUCAGGAUGAGACGGGUCACUGAUGGAGAGGUCCUCAUCGGGGACUCGUCUCUCAGGUGUGGACAGAAGGUUUUUGAGGUGUCCCUCUGGCGUGACAAGGCCCUGGUUGAGCUCAGCUUGGGAGAUCAAUUUAAGAUUUCCUUUCUCAAUGUGAUUCAGACCUUCUGCCAAAUUCAACUUAUCCAGCUUUUCAGCUGUGGAGAGGACUGAAGCUCAACCAGUCGAGGUCACCAUUGUAGGUGUUUCAGAGGAAGAUGGAGGUGCCAUGGUACUGCUGUCUGACACCUACGAAGAGUACAGUGUCCCUGCAGCUCUAGCCAUGGACAUCAGAAAUCUCCAUCACACUGAAAUUAACAAACUCCAGUUACCAGAGUAUUAAGCAGUUGGAGGUUAUGGAGGAAAUUUUUUUUAUUAAAUCGACUGUUUUUGUGUGGUUUUUUACUUGUUCCAUUUUUUUAAUUAAUUGAAGAAUGUUCAUGAUCAUUUUACAUUUAAAUACAAUUUGUGUUAUUUUAAUAAUUUUUGCUUUGUUUUUUUCCUCAUGCAUUUUAUAAAAUUAAAUUAAAUCAAGUCUGAUGUGUUUUAUCACCUCCCUACCAUAAACACAAACGCUUAAUUCUUGCUACCCAAGUAUGAUAAUGUAGCACGUCCGCCGUCAGACUGGCGGUGCCGCAGUAAGUUUUCUGUUUAAACAAACAGAGACACAGUUGUGUCACACUUGUAAUCCUUUAUUUCAAUAAUUCAAAGAUUAUAUAAUUCACAGUGUCUUAUGUCACCUUACAAUGUGACUCAAAUCAUAUGCAUGUGUUGCAUAACUCUUGUAAGAGUUUUCUUAUACUCAAUCUCAUAUAACUCAAUACCUUUCACCUUAUAUCACAAUAUAUUAGUCUCUCGUGUGUGCAAAUGUGUCAUAUCAACCACUGUAUAACUGAAUAGUUGAGCGAAUCAUUGGUUAUAUAUAUAUAUAUAUAUAUAUAUAUAUAUAAACACAAUAUAAACAUUUAAACUGAAUUACUGUAUACAGCGAAUUUACUUCAUCAGAAGAAAGAUCAUUGAAACAUAAUAUUAAAACAACAGAUUAUAAUAUUCAAAGAUAUAUAUAUAUAUGUACACAAACUUUAAUCCUCCCCAGUCUUAGUACACGAUGUAACUACAGAAGAGUCAAGUUUUAAAUAGGAAAAACAUCGAAACUCUUUGGUCAUUUUUGAGCGAGAUGCUAACGGUCUAAUCAGAUUCAAUGAACUAUGCUAAGCUAUGCUAAAAGUGGUACCGCCAGACCCGGAGAUCGGCUGAAUGGAUUCAAAAACAGUAAAACUCAAAUGUUUAACUCUAGAGGAGUUGGAAAAUUAGCCUAUUUUCAAAAAAAGUGGAGUGUUCCUGUAAGUGUCAUUUGUGCCAAAGAGUACAGAAGCCAAGAGGAGAAACUGAGUAUCAUGGCCAUCAUUUUGGGGUGAAAAUGCCAACUGGACAACAGAAUCCAUCUCAUCUUAAACCAUGUCCUAACCAAACGCGAUAAGAUUCCAGCGAACUUUCGGAAAAAAACAAAACUGCCACCGCGUUCGUUCCGUAAGUUGAAUAGUAAAGGCGUAGGACAUUCAGCGUAAGUGUUUUGAAGAAUGCGGAAACCAGAACUCCGUUUAAGGCAAUAUUUUGAAAUCACACGGAAUAAACACCUGUAAUAAAUAAAUAGGCAACUGUCUCGAGUCUUUACCUUGAAAAUAAAACAAUACUAUUUAGCCAAGCUAGUAGACUAUUAUUUUAUUUUUUUAGCCAUUUAGUCAACCAAAAUGUUUCAAGUCUUUUUAAAGCUAUAAUAAUCAUAUUCACCCAACACUGAUUUAUCAGAUUUUUUGAAAUAAAGAGUUUUGAAAUUUGUUGUUUUUCUUUCAUGGCUUUAUCUGUUGGUUAUCAUUGGUUUUGUGAAUCACUCAUGAAAAUGACAAACACUUGACCAGUCUGCUGUUUCUUAAGCAUCAAGAACAGUAAAACAAAGACUGUCACCCAACACCGGUUAAGAGCAAAUAUUUACAAUGUUGUUAUCAUUAUUAAUUAAAAAUAAACAGAAAAUGAAUAACAAAAAUCGUUUUGGAUCAAUAAAUGUACAUUUCAAACGAAAUAGGUUAGCUUGGCUAUCCUGAGGCAGGUCUCGAAAUCGAAUCGCUUAAAGCACAGUUGCGCCAUGUGUCGUAACAUUAUACACUGGCCUAUUUUCACUGCUGUUAAAUCACAGAUGCAAAGCCUACUCAUUCAUGCAGCCUAUUAGGGAAAACUCACAAAUGUGUUUUUUGUGUAGCCUAUAUAUAUUUCUGUUUUUUAAUUUUAUUACAAGAAGAAAAUAGAAUAAUAGGCCUUUUAAGAAAUAUUUUUAAAGAGAAAUAUGGGUAUUAGCGCAGUCCAUGAAAGUAAACACAAUUUUGACAUUUACUGUAGGUCUACUGUUUGAAUUCAUUCUAAACAGCAAAUGCUUACAUUUACACAUGUGGUGUGCAUGUGAUUUUUAAAAAUCUUAUAGUAUUUUUUUUUAUCUCGACAUGGCGUGGUUGACUGCUACUCGCAAAAUCGAGCUGUGAUACACACACUCCAUAACAUGUGAAGGCUGUGGUUAUAGCACCACUUAACGGUCAAGAGCAGAAAUUAAUUUCCCGCUGCAAACCACGACAGUACCCACGUCAACAAAAAAACGCAUUCUGGUUGAGUACCAUCUGUACCUUAGCCUUAAGAUGUUUUGUGAAUACGGCCUCAGGACAGCCAUCAUGAACCGCUGAACAAAGACACUGUUAGCAGAUCUCGCCACCCACUGACCCAUUGACAUAGUAUUUUUCUUCCUACUAUGGUAGUCAAUGGGGGGCGAGAUCUGCCUGGUUACAAACAUUCUUCCAAAUAUCUCCCUUUGUGUUCAGCAGAACAAAGACAUUUAUACAGAGUUGGAACAACAUGAGAGUAAGUAAAUGAUGACUGAAUUUAAAUUUUCGGGUGAACUAUCCCUUUAAUCUGGACUGACUUUAGAGUUUAGUUUACAGUUUUCUUUCUUCCAUAAUAUAUUUCACUGAUCAAGAGU
Ctenopharyngodon idella (grass carp) is the source of this 3365-nucleotide long non-coding RNA. RefSeq lists it as uncharacterized. The record is from RefSeq and is a predicted model, not a curated record. The transcript is spliced from 3 exons. Lineage: Eukaryota; Metazoa; Chordata; Actinopteri; Cypriniformes; Xenocyprididae.